AUAGCAUUAGUCAAGACUACUUCGAGCAGCGGGCAUGUGGUACCAGCGAAAUAGCGCACAUUAGAAGACUCCGGGUAUCCACUGCGGGAACACGGGACACCUUAUGAUUUCUGCAAGCGGCGCCGCAGAAGAAUCCCCGAGGCUAUAACGCCAUACAAAAGAAGGCGCGCUCCACUAUAGAGCUAACAUUUGGGAUAUUAAAAGUUACACCACCACCAUGGCCACUACUGUCUGAUCUGUGAUCCGUGCUGUGCCUAUACGCGAAGACCGUACUCCCGACGACGGCGAUGAAAAUAACACUGCCGGCUUUUCAAGGAGCUACAUUACCAGCUGAUAAUGCAACUAUUACCCAAUGCCCCGUACCUACGUAGUAUAGAAGAAGACUAAGACUUAUCUACUAUAUAAGCAGAGGCUAGCAAACUAGUCUUAUUUCCUAUGAGGCCAUGCUGUGGUAAUUAUUAAAUUCACCUUAGAAAGCUAAUGUAAGGCAUAAGGAUAAUAAGGCACAUAUAUUUGAAUCGCCUCCUUUACAGGAAUAAAUUGUGUAAUUUAUUGUACCUGCUAGUUAAACUAAUACACGAUUAGCAGCACUAAGAGUUGUAUUGGCCAAGUUGACUACGGAGUAAUAUACCUAGCAGGUACAAUAAAUUACAUUUGUUUCUGAGUGAUUUAAAAUAUGUGUCUUAACCAGACACAGAUUGUGCCGAUUGUGUUAUUAACUAUGAUUGCAUAACUUUGUCUAGUAUAGUUCUGAAUAUUUGACCAUCGAUAUAAAUGAUGUAGAUAUACAAAGAUAGAUAGAUAGAAUACUUUAAAAUUUAAAGAUGUAUAAUGCGUGUGUUUAUUUCUUAAGAUGUAUGUAUUGUUCAAAAUUCCAUGGCAGAAUUUUGUUACAAAACAAUCAGUGUAGUAGUAUAGUAUAUAACGAUAAGCAAACAUGUUACUCGUAAAGGAAUAAUUACACACGAACGAAAUAUAUAAGACUUGUAAUGUAAAAAUCUAAAUGUUAUAUUAUAUCUGAGUUGUGUAAACUUCGAAAACUUUUGGCUGUGGCGGCGAACAAUUAUUUCAUGACACGGCAGGCGUGCCUUACGCCAUAGAAUAUGAUCGCACGCCUGUCGUGUCAUGCGCCACACGUUGAAAUCAUUGAUGACACGCCUGUCGUGCCAACCGCACCGAAACGGUUAUAAAUGUACCUAUGAUAAAUAAUUUUAUAAGGUUAG
Long non-coding RNA from Cydia splendana, 1223 nucleotides. RefSeq lists it as uncharacterized. The transcript is spliced from 3 exons. The record is from RefSeq and is a predicted model, not a curated record. Lineage: Eukaryota; Metazoa; Arthropoda; Insecta; Lepidoptera; Tortricidae.